Molecule: ribosomal RNA, 494 nt
Filed under: uncultured bacterium
Lineage: Bacteria
Description: partial 16S ribosomal RNA
Rfam family: Bacterial small subunit ribosomal RNA
Source: RNAcentral
GACGAACGCUGGCGGCGUGCUUAACACAUGCAAGUCGAACGGUGAAGCGCCUUCCUUUUUGGUGGGUGUGGAUGAGUGGCGAACGGGUGAGUAACACGUGAGUAACCUGCCCCCUUCUUCUGGAUAACCGCAUGAAAGUGUGGCUAAUACGGGAUAUUCUGGGUCUGUCGCAUGAUGGGUCUGGGAAAGAUAUUGUUUCGGUGGGGGAUGGGCUGGCGGCCUAUCAGCUUGUUGGUGGGGUGAUGGCCUACCAAGGCGGUGACGGGUAGCCGGCCUGGGAGGGUGGCCGGUCACACUGGGACUGAGACACGGCCCAGACUCCUACGGGAGGCAGCAGUGGGGAAUAUUGCACAAUGGGCGCAAGCCUGAUGCAGCGACGCCGCGUGAGGGAUGGAGGCCUUCGGGUUGUGAACCUCUUUCGCCAGUGAAGCAGGCCUGCCUCGUUUGUGGGUGGGUUGACGGUAGCUGGAAAAGAAGCGCCGGCUAACUACGUG